CCUGCAUCUAUCCUGUCCAGUCCCAUCAGGAUUUUAUAUAUUUCUAUGGGAUCCUACCUCAUUCUUCUAAAGUCUGAGAGUACAAGCCCAGCUGAUCCAGUUUUUCCUCAUAUGUCAGUCCUGCCAUCCCAGGAAUCAGUCUGGUGAACUCUCGCUGGACUGCCUCGACAGCAAGAAUAAAGAUAGAAAAUAGAACAUAGAACAUUACAACACA
Non-coding RNA from Chiloscyllium plagiosum (whitespotted bambooshark), 214 nucleotides. NCBI's taxonomy places the organism in Eukaryota, Metazoa, Chordata, Chondrichthyes, Orectolobiformes, Hemiscylliidae. The record is from RefSeq and is a predicted model, not a curated record.